Molecule: long non-coding RNA, 449 nt
Organism: Panthera uncia (snow leopard)
Lineage: Eukaryota; Metazoa; Chordata; Mammalia; Carnivora; Felidae
Exons: 3
Source: RefSeq, a predicted model, not a curated record
AUCCACAUUCCUGGCCUGUGCUGUGGUUCUACAGGCAAGACCCAUGCAACCCAGGAAUAGACAAGAAAAAGAGCCGAAAUCUUUGUGACAAUGCUGGAGAAUGGGUGGUGAGCAAAGCAUUAUGCAACAACACCGUUAUGCAACAACACCUUGCCUUUUACAAGCUCCCUGGAGUUUUUUAUUCUGUAAUCAUGUAUUUAUGUUGAGAAAAAUGUUAAUUUUGGAUGGAUCAGAAAUGCAAAAUCAUUCAACUAUCAGAAUAACGCAAGAAGAGAGGACACUCAGGCUGAUUAGCAGAGUUUUUUUCUUUGUUCCUUUUUUCCCCUCUCAAAUCACAAUGACCUAAGAUCAGAGCCUUCUGAUCAUUUAUGCUGCUACCUUAGGAUCCAGUUUCAUUCUACAACUGGCUGAAGCAUGAAAUGAACUAAAAUAAACCGAAUUGAAUGGAA